This 72-nucleotide transfer RNA is filed under the name bacterium. RNAcentral describes it as "tRNA-Gln". It matches the Rfam family "tRNA". Rfam says of the family: Transfer RNA (tRNA) molecules are approximately 80 nucleotides in length. Their secondary structure includes four short double-helical elements and three loops (D, anti-codon, and T loops). The record is from RNAcentral.
UGGGGUGUAGCCAAGCUGGUAAGGCAGCGGGCUUUGAACCCGUGAUCCUAGGUUCGAGUCCUAGCACCCCAG